RNAcentral lists this ribosomal RNA (462 nucleotides) under uncultured bacterium. RNAcentral describes it as "partial 16S ribosomal RNA". It matches the Rfam family "Bacterial small subunit ribosomal RNA", at positions 28 to 507 of the family's 1533-position model. The record is from RNAcentral.
GACGAACGCUGGCGGCGUGCUUAACACAUGCAAGUCGAACGGAAAGGCCCUUCGGGGUACUCGAGUGGCGAACGGGUGAGUAACACGUGGGUGAUCUGCCCUGCACUUUGGGAUAAGCCUGGGAAACUGGGUCUAAUACCGAAUAGGACCACGCGCUUCAUGGUGUGUGGUGGAAAGCUUUUGCGGUGUGGGAUGGGCCCGUGGCCUAUCAGCUUGUUGGUGGGGUAAUGGCCUACCAAGGCGACGACGGGUAGCCGGCCUGAGAGGGUGACCGGCCACACUGGGACUGAGAUACGGCCCAGACUCCUACGGGAGGCAGCAGUGGGGAAUAUUGCACAAUGGGCGCAAGCCUGAUGCAGCGACGCCGCGUGAGGGAUGACGGCCUUCGGGUUGUAAACCUCUUUCACCAGGGACGAAGCGUAAGUGACGGUACCUGGAGAAGAAGCACCGGCCAACUACGUG